GGCGGCCUCAGCGCCGCUCACUGAGCGUGCGGCGCCGCCCGCAUCCCGGAAGCGCUUUGCGGCCGCGCUCCAGGCCCCCUCCCCCUCUCCCUCCCUCCCCCCGUUUCUCGGAGACCCGGGGCGGACCGGAGAGCUCCCCCGCACCCAAAGCAGGAGCGGGGGGGCGCCCCCCUCCAGCGGCCGCCGUUCUCACUCUAGAGGCCGCCGUCCCGGAGGCCCGGGGCAGAGCGAGGGGCCGGGCGGGCAUGCAGCCGCCGCCGGAGCCGAGCUCCCAGCGCAAUACGAAAAUGCCUGAAGCCUCAGAAGAUCGUAAUCAUUGGAAGGUCUGUUGACUUCCACUUUUUGAUAAUCUGGAACAUCAUCCGUUUGGCAUGGCUCAGGGUAGUCAACAACUCGAUGUGCAGGUACUCCAUGAUCUCCGACAACGUUUCCCUGAGAUCCCUGAAGGGGUGGUAUCUCAAUGCAUGCUACAGAACAACAACAACCUGGAUGCCUGUUGUCGAGCCCUCGCACAGGAGAGCAACAAAUACUUAUACAUGGAGUACCAUAGCCCUGAUGACACCAGAAUGAAUAGAAAUAGCCUUUUGCACAUUAAUCUGGGUAUUCAUCCUCAUACCAGCUAUCAUGCAGGGGAUGGAGCUCAACUUAAUGGUGGUCGUACACUGGUACAUAGUUCAAGUGAUGGACAUAUUGAUCCACAACGCACAGCAGGUAAACAGCUGAUAUGCUUAGUUCAAGAACCACAUUCUGCUCCCGCUGUUGUGGCAGCUUCUCCUAAUUACAAUCCAUUUUUCAUGAAUGACCAGAAUAGAAAUGCAGCUACUCCUCCUCCACAGCCACCUCCACAGCCAUCUUCCAUACAACCAGGAAUGAACACGUCUGCUAUGCAAGGCCCUCCUCCCACGUAUAUGCACAUACCUCGGUACAGUACAAAUCCCAUUACUGUUACAGUAUCACAAAACCUCCCCUCUGGACAGAGUGUACCCAGAGCUCUACAAAUUCUUCCACAGAUUCCAAGCAAUCUUUAUGGGACUCCUGGCUCUAUUUAUAUUAGACAAACAUCUCAAAGUUCUUCAGGACGACAGACUCCUCAGAAUACACCGUGGCAUUCAUCGCCACAGGGCCCAGUUCCACAUUAUACUCCCCGUCCUCUACCUGUGUAUCCACAUCAACAGAACUACCAGCCUUCUCAGUAUUCUCCUAAACAACCCCAGAUUCCUCAAUCAGCCUUUAGAUCACCACCGGCAUCCCAGUGCCCCUCUCCCUUUGGCUCUCCUCAACACCAGGUUCAGCCUCAGCUGAGUCAUCAGAGUUCACAUGUUUUUAUGCCUCCUAGUCCUUCAAAUGUCCCUCCUCAUCCAUAUCAGCAAGCAUCGCAGACUUUUCAAAAACAAGGCAGUCACUCUGUAUCGUAUCUUCCUCCUUUUGCUGGACCUAGUUUAUCCAAAGGUUCCAUGAAUAAAAUAGAAAUUACAGUUGAACCACCGCAAAGACCCGGGACUGCAAUGAACAGAAGUCCUUCACCAAUAAGUAAUCAACCAUCUCAACGAAACCAGCACCCACUGUAUGCAGCCACUACUCCUCCUUCAAGCUCUCCAUCAAGAGGUAUGUCGGGGCAACCCAAACCUCCAUUUAGUGUUAAUCCAGUAUAUAUUACCUACACUCAACCAACUGGACCUACAGGUGCACCAACACAGUCUCCUCGGGUAAUGGUAUCUCAGCCAAACCCAACUAUUUUUAAAAUCACAGUAGGUCGAGCACCGACUGAGAAUCUUUUAAAUUUAGUGGACCAAGAAGAGCGUACUGCAGCACCGGAACCUAUUCAGCCUAUUUCUGUAAUCCCAGGAUCUGGAGGAGAAAAAGGAAGCCAUAAGUAUCAGAGAAGUUCUAGUUCUGGAUCGGAUGACUAUGCUUACACUCAAGCCUUGCUAUUACAUCAACGAGCGAGGAUGGAGAGAUUAGCAAAGGAACUGAAGCUUGAGAAAGAAGAGCUUGAACGCCUGAAAGCUGAAGUCAAUGGUAUGGAGCAUGAUCUAAUGCAGAGGCGACUUCGAAGAGUUAGCUGUACAACUGCAAUUCCAACAGUAAGCAAUUUCCUGAGGAAAUGACCAAAUUGAGAAGCCUCAACAGACAGCUCCAGAUAAAUGUUGACUGUACACUGAAAGAAGUUGACCUCCUUCAGUCUAGAGGUAACUUUGAUCCGAAAGCCACAUGUAACUUCUAUGAUAACAUAGAGCCUGGUCCUGUUGUGCCACCAAAGCCAUAUAAAAAGGAACAUCCAAACAAUUCCAAACAGACUGCACGGACUCAGCCAAGAGAUGAAGACUUUGAAGGAGCUCCAUGGAAUUGUGAUAGCUGCACCUUUCUAAACCACCCAGCACUAAAUCGCUGUGAGCAGUGUGAAAUGCCACGAUACACUUGAAAAUCAAGAAGGGGCUUCUUUGGGUUGAACGCAGGCUCUCAAGCAGACAGCUAUAGGAGACGGAAACAUGGGGAACCUUUCAGUCCAUUUGCCCGGCCUUUGCUAGUCUACAAUCUUCAUAGUGCAAAGGGGUGGGGGAAAUGUGUUAAGAUGUUUCUGGUUUGUGACACACUAAGAAAGAAAUAAAGGUGAAAUUCUUUCUUAUCCUAUUACAGUGAGCAAAGCAGAAAACAAAACCUGAAAAUGUAAAAGGAUUAAUUUCAGGAAGAAUGUAUGCGGGAAAGCAAAUAACUACUGGUGUUUAGUCCUGUGGUUGCAGUUACUGCUUAGUAGCUCUUAAAAAAAAAAAAAAAAAUUUUAAAAAAUCAAGUUAUAGGAAAUGUGUGAAAUGUUACACUGAUCCCAAAAAACUGAAGAGCCAGAGUUGAUUUAACCUGGCUUACAGCUAGCUGGAAAACAAAGGCUCCCUGUGCUUCUAGAUUGUAAGCUAAUGAAAAAGAAGACAGGUAAAUGCAAACAUUUUUUCAAUGUAUAGAAAGAGGGGGGGGGCGGGGGGAACCAACAUAAAAAUACCCUUCUCCUUGUUGUUUUUGGUUUUUUGUUUUUCUUUUUUUUUUUUGUAAUUGCUGCUUUUUUCAGGGUAAUUUAUGUCUACAAAAAAUUACUGUUUGAAAUAGUGACCUAAGGUGACUAGACGAGAUACUGUGUGAGUGUUACAGAGAGUUUAAAUCAGAGGUAAAUUUUUACAAUCCCUUUUGCUUGUACAGUGCUCACCUGGCUGUGUCAACAUGGGUAAUAAACCAAGAAUGAAUUGUACCAUAUUAUGGAUGAAAAUACUACUGCAUGCUUUCAUUUGACCAUUGUGUUUAAAAGCAAAAAGUAUGCUUUUUAUAUACAACAAUUUGUGUAAGACUGUGCUGUAGCAGCACAGUGACAUAUGCCAAACAGACUACUCCAGAUUUGGUUUGAAAGACUUGAGCUCAGCCAUGAUUAUGUAUGAGAAGUGUUUGUACCCAGUUUCUUAGGCUUUUUCAGCUUCCAAUUUAUGAAGAAUUCAUGAUGUUUGCAGCACAGAAGGUACCUUGUGCUCCAGUUCAAAGUUAGCUGAAAAAUAGUUACUCAGUUAGCUCUUCAGUUCAGGUUUAUUUGCACAUUGUUAAUUAACCAGCCUGUAUAAAGUAGCAGAUGGCAGAUCUUGAAGAGAAAUUACACAUUGCAUUCUUUAUAUUUUGAUCAGGAAAUGUUUGUCAUAGGUUGAAGAACACAAGACUUGCAGCUGAAAAUCAUACUGCUACUUUUCAUGCAUACGAUCUACUGUAUUAUAAAGGUGAUCUUCAGUUUGUCUGAAUGCUUCAGAUUGCUGUAAUAAAGCACUCAUUAUUUUUGGAAUUGAACUUGGUUUUGGGCAGCUGAAUGAUUGUGUUUCAAAACUGUGACUGAGUAGGAUGUUUUGUGUACCGUUUAGAAGCCGGUACAAUGCAUUGGAGUUUUUAUGGUGCAACUUUUUCAAGAAUCAGAGAUGAAACCAAGCAUGUCAGCUGAGUUCUGGAAAUUGACAACCAUGAGGCAAAAACAUGCUAGCUAAAUCUCACCAGGAGAGAUUCAAACUAUUUCAUUGUAAAUUGUUCUUAAUUCAUGGCAAUCCUAUCCACGUGAUCAAUUACCACAAUUUGUUUGAUGAGUGAUUUAAGCAUUGGUAGAACAAUCAUGUCUGAAUCCUUGUGUAAAAGCAGGCAGCGUUUGUAAGAGGUGGGUGAGGAAAAUGUAUCUCGACUUCAUUGCUAAAUCUGGUGUCUUCUCUCCCUGUAGUUUAUAAAGAUGAUGGUAAAAAAUAAACUGUGACCUUAGAUGAGGACCCAGUACUUGAUCUGGCAUUUUUCAAUAUGUUCUUGCACUAGUUAAAUCUUCAGCAUAAUUUUAAAUAAGCUAAAAGAAUUCCAGCAAUCAGUGUGCACUGCUGAUGAGUGAAACAAAGUCAAAGGCAUCAGAGACAGUUUCUCUCUCUCUUCCCUCCUUCUCUUUUAUGCUCCGUGAGGAGCUCAUCAUGUGAGGGGGAAUCACUGUCCAUGCAAAGUUAGAAAACAACUAUUAAUUGUGUUCAUGAAAGUGGACGUGUUGACAAUACUGAUAACAAGAAAACAGAUGAGCAGAAGCAUUAUACCUAGGAUAAGCAAUACCACUGCUGUUACGGGCUGUAUAAUGAAACAAUACCAGUAACUUCAUGACUUUUCUAUCAUGAUGCCUUUGCCUUUGUAUUAUUUCAAUUUUCUAUUCAUUUGUACUUCUGUUGAAAUUCUAGAAGCAUUUGUUUGCUGGAAUACAAAAUGAUAGCAAUUAAAAUGGCAGUCAGCAAAUGAGAGUAGGUGUUGUGCAUCAUUAUAGUUGUCAUUUUCUGACAGAAUAGAUGCUACUUUUGACUAAAAAUAAAAACGCAUGCAGUCCAGCAAUUCCCUGAACUGAAAUAACCAUAAGUGCGCAGUGCCUGGUAUUAGUGGAGAUGCUUAAGGCUUAGCCAUAACUACAGCAGAAGAAAAAGAAGGCUGCCUUGACACCAAGAUACAUUUUGGAAGACUGAGUGAGUGCCAUCAAAAUGCAAGUGAAUUCCAUUGUUCCAACAGUUUUACUCCGGUCAUUCACUUACUCUCAUUUGUUGUUUGUACAGAAACAAAACCAACAAACCAAACCCCUUCCUUGUUUUCCUUUACCUGUAAAUGCCCUUGCAGAUACAUCAAUAGUGAAAACUUUACAUGGUGCUUAAAUAUUUUUAGUUUCUUAGAAUGUAAAUUGUAUUUUGAAUGAUGAUUCAUUUUCCUUCUGAAAGCAGGCGAUGCAGGUGAUUUCAGACCCGGAAUGAGUUGUAGAUUAUGCCAAAAAAAAAAGAAAAAAGAAAAGAAAAGAAAAGAAAAAAAAAAAAAAGAGGUUGGUCUGUGUAAUAUUUAUUGAAUGCACAUAAAACCCCGAUGUCGGCUGGCAUAUAAAAAUGCACUGUAUUGUAUAAAACUUUUGUGUGUAUGUGUGAAUGGUGGGAUGCCGAUGCCAUUGUGUUGAGUUAAUGCACUACUUGUGUUUUCUUUGUUUUCCUUAAUGACAGAGCUCUCCCUCAAACAUGUUACUAGAUUGAUAGUGUUUGUAACUGACUUGGACAUUCGAAUAUUCAGAGUGAUUUCACUGUUCACUGAAAUUUUAUAAAGCUAAUUUUAUAUUUACUGUGCUAUUAAGAUGAAAUCCCUAUAAGUAUAGAAUACUACUGUAGUUCUUUAAAAGUUUAUUUAGAAGUGGGGCUUGUGGAAAAUAAUUCAGAGUAUCGUAAACCAAAAAAAAAGGAAAAAAAAAAUCCUGAACGUUCAAUCUACUUUUAAUUUGAUGUAAUUAUUAGUCUUGUUUGGUUGAAGAGGAAAGGGGUGGGAAGUCAAGCAAAAGGAAGUACUUUGUAAAAUGUAGUCUUAGAUCAGAUUGAAUUGUGUAUCUGUGUGUCUGUGGUAUGUGUGUGUUCCUCUUGAAGUCUGGGAGGUGCAGUGAAAAGGUGUAAUAAUUCUUAAAAGAGCUGGUCUCAGUACUUUCCGAAUAUGUUAUGCUACUAAGUCACAUUUUUAAUAAGACCCCUUCAGUUACCUUAUCUCUCCCAGUUAUACAUCUCUCAUUUCAAUUUCCGAAUACUUUUACACUUUAAAUUGAUUGUAAAAAACCCUCGAAACUGAAAUAAAGAUACUUGACUUGAAAUGGAAACAAGGAAAAAUGAAAACAAAAACGAAUGUUUUAAAAAAGAAUGUGAGAAUAUUUGUCAUCAGGAUGAUAGUUGCUAUUCAGAGUUCAGUGAUACGCCCUAGAAUGUGAAAACAACUAUCCUGACAAGAAGUGGACCGUUGGACAUAAACAAUUCAUCAGCUUCUUUGGCACAAUAGAACUUAUGUGCUCUGUAGUACAACGACUCCCCAUCCCGUAAAGAAAGAAGACGUGCACAGUUACACAUCUUAUAGUCAGUACUGUUUCUAUGUGCUGCUGCAUUUGUUUUGUUUCAAAAUGUCAGCGUUAUUUGAAGCUGGCCGUGACUGAAUUUUGCCGGAUUCUUCAGUUUGGGGCUUUCAUUGCUGUUUAUGUCCAUCAAUGUUGAUGCAACUAUUUUCUUGGUUUUGAAUAAUCAUAAGUCAGUGGAGUUAAUGCAAUAUUAUAAUCCUGGACUUUCAGUACAUUUGAAACGAUUUAAAACAAUUGUGUUCUUGGAAUUUAUUUAUUUAUGGUGGCACCAGUGUAUCUAAUCCAUAUUUCCUGCUGUGUGAAACCCUGUUAAAUUUUUUUUCAUUAAAACAAGGAGACACGAUCUUGUUUAAUCCUGUAUAUAUGGUGUCUACAUCCUAGAUUUGUGUAUGCUGUGAAUGAACUUAUUACUAAGAGAUGAAAUUGUAUAAAGGCAUUCAGAGGCUAUGCAUGCAUGGUACCUCCAGAAAGUGCAUACUCCGAGUUGCAGACUCCUGCAAAAUAAAUUAAUAAAACUAAGCAAACAUCA
This is an RNA transcript of Coturnix japonica (Japanese quail), 6926 nucleotides long. It is a transcript of the gene named TGF-beta activated kinase 1 (MAP3K7) binding protein 3, with no coding region annotated. The record is from RefSeq and is a predicted model, not a curated record. Lineage: Eukaryota; Metazoa; Chordata; Aves; Galliformes; Phasianidae.